ACUUACUUUAUUAAGUUUAAUUUAAUAAAGACUUCAUUUGUUAGUUGACAGUAAAGAGUGACAGAAAAUGAUUAACUUGAUACUGUGACAUCACUGUUACAUGCAAUGUGUCCUAGACUGCUGGUCUACCACAAUUUAUAUUUUAUGUAUUUAGACCACUUCUAACCUCAGUUCAAACCUGAUUAACUCAAGCUAAGCUGUCCAAAGUGACUGUAAAACAGACAGAAUCAGCUCUCUUUAAUGCAGGACUUUUGCUGUGAAGUAGCUGCAGGAAAUGUUGAGUUUAGAUCAGUAACAACAGACAGAUCACUAAAUGUUUAAAAAGACAGAGAAACAGUUAAGUAUUUUUUUUUAUAAAAGUGCACUAUUACUCUCUGUAAAUCUGUCUGUAAAGUUUGCCUGAAUUUUCUCAGUCACAAUUGCCUCUUCUAAGUCUUUUUCUGCAUGACAGCAAAUAUAAUCUAAAUCCUUUAUUGGCUAGCAUUAAAUAAACGCUGUUAUAAUGCAUAGAACAAUGUAGUUGAGAUAGGUCAAUUCUGUCCCGCUCUCCCUUAAAGGAGACAUAUUAUGCCUUUUUUCAGGUUCACAAUUUUACUUAGUAUAACGUAAACAAGAACUUACUAGAAAGGUUUAUGUGUUUUAAUGUUCAAAAAACACAUUAUUUCUCUCAUACUGCCUAAAGCUGAAGCACCUCUUUUCCCCCUCUGUGUGAAACGCUCUGUUUGAGCUCCCGUCUCUGUAAGGCCCUCCUUCUGAAAAGCCCAGUCUGCUCUGAUUGGUCAGCUCCUACGAACUGCUGCAGCUUUCACCUUCCGUCUUCCGUCUUGCGCCGCAGGCAGCCCCUCACUGUUGAUGAGUUUAGUUGCAUUUCUAAUUCAGUAACUGCUUCUAAACCAAAAACUUCACUACCAGACCUGAAAUCUUGGAGAAAUUAACAAUCAGGAUUACAGCUUUCCACGACGUUUUCUCCAGGUACAGUGACAUAAAGUCUACACAGCCCAGUGAAGUAAAAGCACUUGUUGUGAAGAGCUAAAGAGGUAACAUGUUAGCAUGUGCAUAUAGCAUAGUACCAAAUGUAAAUACUUACAGUAAUUACCAGGAUGUAGGGAUGGAAACAGUGAUAGUAUAAUGAUUACUGUAGCCACCCAUCUGUUAUACUCUUUAUACACAUUAGUGAGACUGAGCUAGGUUAGUGGAUACUUUAUCCUGUAUAACAUGUCAACAUAACUUAAUGUCUAAUAAAGUAAUGUGCUUAUGUAGUUGAAAAACUGCUCAGUAACCAACUGUGGACGGUACUGUAUCCAUAUCUCAUAGUAAGUCUGAUAUUUUAACUUGAAACACAUGUGUUAUUGUCACACAAAUGUUGCCAAAUGUAUGCUCAUGCAUAAUGCAGAUGAUGCGUUUUAACCCCAAUAUUGUAUCACUUACAUUGUCUGUCAACAUCAUAAUAAAGUUUCACUGUGAACCAGAAA
Long non-coding RNA from Dicentrarchus labrax (European seabass), 1472 nucleotides. RefSeq lists it as uncharacterized. The transcript has 2 exons. The record is from RefSeq and is a predicted model, not a curated record. Lineage: Eukaryota; Metazoa; Chordata; Actinopteri; Moronidae.